Non-coding RNA from Brassica rapa (field mustard), 310 nucleotides. Lineage: Eukaryota; Viridiplantae; Streptophyta; Magnoliopsida; Brassicales; Brassicaceae. The record is from RefSeq and is marked provisional.
CAGAUUGUCUACAGAUGCUACAACAGUGAGGAGUUUGGUUGGAGAUGAUGCAUUGACGUUGUUGAUAGUGCAAAAAUAUAGAGACAGUAACCGCCGGUUUGAUAAUAGCCUUUAGGGUGAAUUGGAUGAACAUAUCCAUGCAUCACCAUAAACGGUGAGACAGCAAGAACCACAAGAGCAAGCUCCCAAUUCGCCGUAAAAGCUAUUAUAAAACCGGCGGUUAGAGUCGCUACAUUUUUUGCACUAUCAACGCCAACGUAUUUCCUACCGAACUCCUAUGUUAUUUCAUCAAAUAUCAUGUGGGCUCUGA